Molecule: ribosomal RNA, 999 nt
Filed under: Lachnospiraceae bacterium oral taxon 419
Lineage: Bacteria; Bacillati; Bacillota; Clostridia; Lachnospirales; Lachnospiraceae
Description: bacterial SSU rRNA
Rfam family: Bacterial small subunit ribosomal RNA
Source: RNAcentral
GAUGAACGCUGGCGGCGUGUAUAACACAUGCAAGUCGAACGAGAAGUGAAGACGGAAGCCUUCGGGCGGAAGACUUUAUUUCGAGUGGCGGACGGGUGAGUCACGCGUGGGUAACCUGCCUCAUACAGGGGGAUAACAGUUGGAAACGACUGUUAAUACCGCAUAAGACCACAGCACCGCAUGGUGCGGGGGUAAAAACUCCGGUGGUAUGAGAUGGACCCGCGUUCGAUUAGCCAGUUGGCGGGGUAACGGCCCACCAAAGCGACGAUCGAUAGCCGAUCUGAGAGGAUGACAGGCCACAUUGGGACUGAGACACGGCCCAAACUCGUACGGGAGGCAGCAGUGGGGAAUAUUGCACAAUGGGGGAAACCCUGAUGCAGCGACGCCGCGUGAGUGAAGAAGUAUUUCGGUAUGUAAAGCUCUAUCAGCAGGGAAGAAAAUGACGGUACCUGAGUAAGAAGCCCCGGCUAACUACGUGCCAGCAGCCGCGGUAAUACGUAGGGGCAAGCGUUAUCCCGGAUUUACUGGGUGUAAAGGGAGCGCAGACGGCUCUGCAAGUCUGAAGUGAAAGCCCGCGGCUUAACCGCGGGACUGCUUUGGAAACUGCAAGGCUUGAGUAUCGGAGGGGCAGGCGGAAUUCCUAGUGUAGCGGUGAAAUGCGUAGAUAUUAGGAAGAACACCGGUGGCGAAGGCGGCCUGCUGGACGAAAACUGACGUUGAGGCUCGAAGGCGUGGGGAGCAAACAGGAUUAGAUACCCUGGUAGUCCACGCGGUAAACGAUGAAUACUAGGUGUUGGUGCCCGAAGGCAUCGGUGCCGCCGCAAACGCAAUAAGUAUUCCACCUGGGGAGUACGUCGCAAGUAUGAAACUCAAAGGAAUUGACGGGGACCCGCACAAGCAGUGGAGCAUGUGGUUUAAUCGAAGCAGCGAAGACCUUACCAAAUCUUGACAUCCUCUGACCGCACCGUAAUGGGUGCUUUCCCUCGGGACAGGAGUGAC